GGUUGAUAUCCCUGAAGGGGCGUGUCUGCGACCAACAUCCAUCAUUGGAAUCGGCUCCAAUGACGCCAGUCUGGAAACUGUUGCUGUUGACGCGCAGCGGUGCGUUUCUCGGGCGCGUUUGGGGAUGUGAGGGAUUGACGCGCGUCCAGAUCGGCGGAACGCGUGAGUACACGGCUCGGUGCAGGUGCAGGUGUGUGUGUGUGAUGGUCAUCAUCAAGCUCAAAGGCGCUCAGUGNUGAUGCACAGGUUUGAGGUUCUUGGGAUUGUGGGGGAAGGUGAGUACCGGCAGACAAUACCAGACUGAAAAAAUCAGGUGAAACUGAGAAAUGAUGCGGAAAAUACAGGAUAAAGGAACAAUUCAUACACUAAAUCCUUUUCUCCUCCUGUAUUCUUCCAUCAUUUGUCACAAAUGCUUUUUAUGACCUUGUUUCUUAAAGCACUUAAUGGGGUCACAUCAUGAAAAUUCGAAUUUUCCUUGAUCUUUUGAAAUAAGAGUUUGAUGUAGCAUGAGAACUUGCCUAACUCAGGUCAAGAAGAGCUUUUAUUGAGACUAAGCUGCAAAAACGAUUCAUUUUGUGUCUUGUUUUUUAUGUCAGACAUUGCAAAUGCAUUAACACAUGACUGUUUUGUUUUUAUGCAGUCUUUGUGGGCACUUUAUCUGAAACAGAGCAGUGAAAAUUGAAUUGAAUUCACACUUAUUUUCUCUGAAUCUGAGUGUAGUUGAGUCAAAGUUGUCCGAUCACAGUCUGAGGAACCUGAUGGUCGUUGGUCGUAAUUUCACUCUGGCAAAGUGUGCAGUGACUGCGUUUUGCUUUUGGCAGAAUAAUAUCCUGGCAUGGAAGAAAACUCUAAAUUGCACAGCGGUGUCAGUAUGCUUUUAAGUGGAAAUUUGUGUACAAAGAAGAAUAUACAGUUCUGCUUGUUGAUAUUUAUUUUACAUUACAAGUAGUUCUGACUGAAAAGCAGUUGAAUGACCUCUUUAAUACAUUUAAUAUGGCAUUUUAUUUUAUUGUACUCAUAUACUGUACUUAUCAAAAGUUUGGGGUCAGUAUAUCUUUUUCAGCAAGUGUAGAUUAAAUUGAUCCAAAAAGUGACGUUUCUAAUGUUACAAUUUUCUGUGAAUCCUGAAAAAUUUAAAUGUAUCACGGUUUCCACAAAAAUAUUGUGCAGCACAACUGUUUUCAACAUUGAUAAUAAUCAGAAAUGUUUCUUGAGCAGCAAAUCAGCAUAUUAGAAUGAUUUCUGAAGAUCAUGUGACACUGAAGACUGGAGUAAUGAUGCUGAAAAUACAGCUGCGCAUCACAGAAAUAAAUUACAUUGUAACAUGUAUUCA
Molecule: long non-coding RNA, 1333 nt
Organism: Cyprinus carpio (common carp)
Lineage: Eukaryota; Metazoa; Chordata; Actinopteri; Cypriniformes; Cyprinidae
Source: Ensembl